GGAUGUGAUCAUACCAGCACUAAAGCACCGGAUCCCAUCAAAACUCCGAAGUUAAGCAUGCUUGGGCGAGAGUAGUACUAGGAUGGGUGACCUCCUGGGAAGUCCUCGUGUUGCAUUCC
This 119-nucleotide ribosomal RNA is filed under the name Triticum aestivum (bread wheat). The record is from RNAcentral. Lineage: Eukaryota; Viridiplantae; Streptophyta; Magnoliopsida; Poales; Poaceae.